GAUGAACGCUGGCGGCGUGCCUAAUACAUGCAAGUCGAGCGAACAGACGAGGAGCUUGCUCCUCUGACGUUAGCGGCGGACGGGUGAGUAACACGUGGAUAACCUACCUAUAAGACUGGGAUAACUUCGGGAAACCGGAGCUAAUACCGGAUAACAUGUUGAACCGCAUGGUUCAACAGUGAAAGACGGUUUUGCUGUCACUUAUAGAUGGAUCCGCGUCGCAUUAGCUAGUUGGUAAGGUAACGGCUUACCAAGGCAACGAUGCGUAGACGACCUGAGAGGGUGAUCGGCUACACGGGAACUGAGACACGGUCCAGACUCCUACGGGAAGCAGCAGUAGGGAAUCUUCCGCAAUGGGCGAAAGCCUGACGGAGCAACGCCGCGUGAGUGAAGAAGGUCUUCGGAUCGUAAAACGCUGUUAUUAGGGAAGUACAAAUGUGUAAGUAACUAUGCACGUCUUGACGGUACCUAAUCAGAAAGCCACGGCUAACUACGUG
This 497-nucleotide ribosomal RNA is filed under the name uncultured bacterium. RNAcentral's name for it is "partial 16S ribosomal RNA". It matches the Rfam family "Bacterial small subunit ribosomal RNA", at positions 28 to 507 of the family's 1533-position model. The record is from RNAcentral.